RNAcentral lists this ribosomal RNA (497 nucleotides) under uncultured bacterium. RNAcentral describes it as "partial 16S ribosomal RNA". It matches the Rfam family "Bacterial small subunit ribosomal RNA", at positions 28 to 507 of the family's 1533-position model. The record is from RNAcentral.
GAUGAACGCUGGCGGCGUGCCUAAUACAUGCAAGUCGAGCGAACAGAUGAGGAGCUUGCUCCUCUGACGUUAGCGGCGGACGGGUGAGUAACACGUGGAUAACCUACCUAUAAGACUGGGAUAACUUCGGGAAACCGGAGCUAAUACCGGAUAAUAUAUUGAACCGCAUGGUUCAAUAGUGAAAGACGGUUUUGCUGUCACUUAUAGAUGGAUCCGCGCCGCAUUAGCUAGUUGGUAAGGUAACGGCUUACCAAGGCAACGAUGCGUAGCCGACCUGAGAGGGUGAUCGGCCACAAUGGAACUGAGACACGGUCCAGACUCAUACGGGAGGCAGCAGUAGGGAAUCUUCCGCAAUGGGCGAAAGCCUGACGGAGCAACGCCGCGCGAGUGAUGAAGGUCUUCGGAUCGUAAAACUCUGUUAUUAGGGAAGAACAAAUGUGUAAGUAACUAUGCACGUCUUGACGGUACCUAAUCAGAAAGCCACGGCUAACUACGUG